GAUGAACGCUGGCGGCGUGCCUAAUACAUGCAAGUCGAGCGAACAGACGAGGAGCUUGCUCCUCUGACGUUAGCGGCGGACGGGUGAGUAACACGUGGAUAACCUACCUAUAAGACUGGGAUAACUUCGGGAAACCGGAGCUAAUACCGGAUAAUAUAUUUAACCGCAUGGUUCAAUAGUGAAAGACGGUUUUGCUGUCACUUAUAGAUGGAUCCGCGCCGCAUUAGCUAGUUGGUAAGGUAACGGCUUACCAAGGCAACGAUGCGUAGCCGACCUGAGAGGGUGAUCGGCCGCACUGGAACUGAGACACGGUCCAGACUCCUACGGGAGGCAGCAGUAGGGAAUCUUCCGCAAUGGGCGAAAGCCCGACGGAGCAACGCCGCGUGAGUGAUGAAGGUCUUCGGAUCGUAAAACUCUGUUAUUAGGGAAGAACAAAUGUGUAAGUAACUAUGCACGUCUUGACGGUACCUAAUCAGAAAGCCACGGCUAACUACGUG
Molecule: ribosomal RNA, 497 nt
Filed under: uncultured bacterium
Lineage: Bacteria
Description: partial 16S ribosomal RNA
Rfam family: Bacterial small subunit ribosomal RNA
Source: RNAcentral